Molecule: long non-coding RNA, 840 nt
Filed under: Marmota monax (woodchuck)
Lineage: Eukaryota; Metazoa; Chordata; Mammalia; Rodentia; Sciuridae
Source: RNAcentral
CCUCAAGCUCCCCAAAUGGGAGAGCGAGGAGAGUCAAAAGAGGCUAGCGAGAGAGCGAGCACAUUCAGAAGUGAACUUUUAUUGGGGGGACCCUCAUUCUUAGAAAGUUCCAUCCAAAAAAGGUCAGGAGGGACAGGGUUACAAGGACAGGUGAGUAAUUCCACUCCUGGGGCUACAGGAAGGCACGUCUACGUCUGAAGACACAUUCUGCUACUUUGAGGAUCAGGGCAAUAUCCAGUCACUACGAAAGUGACCAGCAGAACCUCUCUGAUCACAGGAAGGAGAAUGCCAGUCAUUCAGUGAGACAGCCUCCCACACUUUAGAGUGAGACCCAAAACUUGAAAAUGUGGAAAACACUUCAGGACAUCAAUUUGGAUAAAGAUUUCUUGAUAUGGCCCCCAAAACACAGGCAACAAAAGCAAAAAUGAACAAAUAGGAUCACAUCAAAUUAGAGAACUUCUGUACAACAAAGGAAACCAUCAACAGUGAGACGACUUGAAAAAAUGGGAGAAAAUAUUAACCAGCUAUUCAUCUGACAAAAGUGGGGAUGCAGAACAUAUAAGCACUCAACAACAAAAACAAAAUUAAAGAUGGGCACAGGAUCUAAAUAGACAUUUAGACAUCUCUGAAAAGAAGAAACACAGAUGGCCAACACAUAUGAAAAAAACACCAGCCCUAAUCAUCAGGGAAAUGCAAAUCAGAACCACAGUGAGAAGUCACCUCAUUCCAGCUAAUCGGCUACUAUCAGACAAAAGGUGUGCAGUGAAGAUCUGGAAAAUUGGGAACUCUUAUCCAUUGUUGGUUGGAAUGUAAAUUAGCUCAGCCAUUAUAGAAAAAAAU